UACGUAGGGGCGAGCGUUGUCCGGAAUGAUUGGGCGUAAAGGGCGCGUAGGCGGUUGUGCAAGUCAGUAGUGGAAGCCCAGCUUUUAAGGUUGGAAGUGCUAUUGAAACUGUGCAGCUUGAGUGCAGGAGAGGUUAUCGGAAUUCCCGGUGUAGCGGUGAAAUGCGUAGAGAUCGGGAGGAACACCAGUGGCGAAGGCGGGUGACUGGACUGCAACUGACGCUGAGGCGCGAAAGUGUGGGGAGCAAACAGGAUUAGAUACCCGGGUAGU
Molecule: ribosomal RNA, 270 nt
Filed under: uncultured prokaryote
Description: partial 16S ribosomal RNA
Rfam family: Bacterial small subunit ribosomal RNA
Source: RNAcentral